RNAcentral lists this ribosomal RNA (253 nucleotides) under uncultured bacterium. RNAcentral's name for it is "partial 16S ribosomal RNA". It matches the Rfam family "Bacterial small subunit ribosomal RNA", at positions 524 to 776 of the family's 1533-position model. The record is from RNAcentral.
UACGGAGGGUGCGAGCGUUGUCCGGAAUCACUGGGCGUAAAGGGCGCGUAGGCGGCGCGGGUAGUCGUCGGUGAAAGCUCAGGGCUCAACCCUGAGUCGGCCGGUGAUACUCCCGUGCUCGAGCACUGUAGAGGCAGGUGGAAUUCCGGGUGUAGCGGUGGAAUGCGUAGAGAUCCGGAAGAACACCGGUGGCGAAGGCGGCCUGCUGGGCAGUAACUGACGCUGAUGCGCGACAGCGUGGGGAGCAAACAGG